UUAUUUUUAGCAGUAGUAGUAUUUACAUUUAGGAAUCAUAGGUAAAAUAACACACAUUCUCCUUUUUCUGUUUCAUUCUCAAACUGGGAUUGUGAGUCCUGAUAAUUUUUUUGUCCAUCAAAUAUCUACUAAUUAUUACAUGUAAUAAUUGUAAGGUGUAAAUAAAUAUUUGGCUUAGACUUAAAUAACAGAAGCGUCGCCAUAGUUCAACAGACAAGUACGCUGAUUUUCUGUCACAUGUAUCUUUCUAGGAAUUAGAAUUCCAUGUGUUCUGUGUGUAAAUGCAUGGUUCAACAGUCCACUUAGCCAAUUUGACGGUUUGUUGGCAGAAACAGACCUUGCUGGGUUAGAAGGGUCAAGGCCUGUGGGCUUAAGCUGGAGUUCAGGUUAUUGUUUAGGGGAAUGAGUUUUGUUGUCAUGCCUAAGGUGAGGGUGAGGGAGGAAACACUGUGAAGUCCAUCCAUGCCAAAGCUAAGGGGUGUGUGUGGAUGUGCGUGAGAGGUGGCCUUGACCGGAGUCCAUGGACAGUGGCACCUGAAGGACUGCGCUGCGAUAGUGGCGUACAAUGUAGUUACUCAAGAAAAACAACAUAAGGAGAAGAAAUUAACCUUCCACGUAAUGUCUUUACACGUGUGCUGACAAAUACUGCAGCGUGGAGGAUGAAUCAUCCAGCGAAGCAUGAAGCAGUGCAGAACACAGAUGAACUGCAGAUCUACAGUUCAAUGAAGGUUCAACCUCAAGAAAAAAAACAUUUCCUCAGGUUUCCAGGUUUAUUUACGUGUUCAAUAUCACCAGGUAUAUGUUAAGGCUUUUAACUCCAAACUUCAUGUUCAUAAUACUGUCUUUUCAAAAUUUAAACAAAUUAUAAAAAUAAAAAUAGCAUUUUUGGCAGAUAAACCUCUUCUAAUUGGCUUAAUAAUUGUAAUCAACAUACAAAAUAAAAAUGGUUCAUUUCACGUAUAUGCAACCCCCCCUUACAUGUUUACAUUACAUAGAUACUGUUCGGGUCAAUUUGACCCAACAGUAAAACUUAAGGCUAAAAAAUAAAAUAUUACCAGGGUUUUACAAUAUUUAACAGCCAUAUUUAACAAUAAAUAUCUCGCCAGUAUUAACAGAAAGUUUAGCUAACCUGAGUUGGAACGUUUUGCCGUUACUCAGUAUGUGUUUCCUUACGCCAUUCCUCUCGUACUGGUAACGCUAAAUGACCGGUACCAUUAGUGUUUCCUUUUUUAUGGCUAAUUUAAUGUUACUGGCGGUCACUUUAUUUGGAGAGCUCUCACUUUGAAACACUCCUGAGAAACAUAAACGUCGGAGCAUUCAGGACUGUUGCUAUCUUUACAGUAUUUGGCAUGUAAGUUUAGUGAGCAUGAUUUAAUUAUAUUUUAAUUGAAUCAUCAUUGAAUGACAUAUUUUGAACAUAUCUAUUAACCCUAACUAGUAUAAAUGUCAGACUCUUUUAAUGUAUGCCCAGACUGUGCAUUUGUAAUACACAAGUUAUUAAAGGGUUGUAUAUUUUGGGGCAUGGUGGACGUCACUCAUUUGCACAUGCUGGACGCUGUCUGUUGAGGUUCAGGGGGUCCUGGGAUCUCACCUCGGCUUCACAGGUGCUUUGGCAGAACCUGCAGAAUGCUGAAGACGCUUCCUGCACACUGGACUUUAUCCAAAGAUAAUGGUGCUUCUUGGGCAUUAAUCCAAAAAGGCAGCGUGGACCCAUCAAUCAGAAAGUCUGUACCUUCAUCAGAAAACUAAUUGAUUUUUAGUAUUCUAAACUAAAUCAAAUUUGCAAUAUUGCUGUAAAUUUACAUUUAAUUACUGGCUACUAGUUGCAUUACAUUUACAGGAUUGCAUACUGUGACCUCACAGCAAUUACUGUAAAUUUGUACAGCGAUAUGCUGUAACAUCAAAGCAAUAUCAUGAAACCUUUACUGUGAAAUCACAAUUUAUAUAAACAAAACUACAAAAACAUACUGUCAUAUUACAGUAAUAUUUGAUACAUUUACUUUAACAUCACAGUAGCAAAGAGUAAUUUAAUGUCUUACCUUACUGUGAAGUCAGAGCUGUCAAUGUACAAGCAGUAAAAUACUUUGAAAGUCAUACAAUUAGUAGCCAGUAAUUUACUGUAAAUUUACACCGAAAUAUUUAACAGUAAAUGGUUUGUUGAAUGUGUGAGACAUUACAGUCUCACACAUUCAUCUUAUGUUCUCACCCCAUCUAAAAAGUACAAAAAUGAGUUUUUAUGGCAACACCAUUGCCUGUGACAACUUCAAUUCAGGAGGUUUUAAAGAGAAAGCUUAAAAUGGUCACAAUGAUCCAAAAGAACAGGGCUGAACUCCCAGUAGAGCAUUUGGUAGCCAUAAACAAGGUCCACCAGUCUUCCAGGUUUGCCUUCACAGACAGAACAGCCUCAAUGUCUUAUUGCACAAAAAUGCUGAAAGCAUCAAGGGAACAUGAAAAAGAGUAUGAUUCUGGAUCACAAUACCACUAAAGGUGGGGU
This is a long non-coding RNA of Betta splendens (Siamese fighting fish), 2494 nucleotides long. RefSeq lists it as uncharacterized. Lineage: Eukaryota; Metazoa; Chordata; Actinopteri; Anabantiformes; Osphronemidae. The transcript has 3 exons. The record is from RefSeq and is a predicted model, not a curated record.